UACGAAGGGGGCUAGCGUUGCUCGGAAUCACUGGGCGUAAAGGGUGCGUAGGCGGGGUUUUAAGUCAGGGGUGAAAUCCUGGAGCUCAACUCCAGAACUGCCUUUGAUACUGAGGAGCUUGAGUCCGGGAGAGGUGAGUGGAACUGCGAGUGUAGAGGUGAAAUUCGUAGAUAUUCGCAAGAACACCAGUGGCGAAGGCGGCUCACUGGCCCGGUACUGACGCUGAGGUGCGAAAGCGUGGGGAGCAAACAGG
Molecule: ribosomal RNA, 253 nt
Filed under: uncultured bacterium
Lineage: Bacteria
Description: partial 16S ribosomal RNA
Rfam family: Bacterial small subunit ribosomal RNA
Source: RNAcentral